UACGUAGGGUGCAAGCAUUAUCCGGAGUGACUGGGCGUAAAGAGUUGCGUAGGUGGUUUGUUAAGUGAAUGGUGAAAUCUAACGGCUCAACCGUUCAGACUAUUAUUCAAACUGGCAAACUCGAGAGUGGUAGAGGUAACUGGAAUUUCUAGUGUAGGAGUGAAAUCCGUAGAUAUUAGAAGGAACACCAAUGGCGUAGGCAGGUUACUGGACCAUUUCUGACACUGAGGCACGAAAGCGUGGGGAGCGAACCGG
Molecule: ribosomal RNA, 255 nt
Filed under: uncultured bacterium
Lineage: Bacteria
Description: partial 16S ribosomal RNA
Rfam family: Bacterial small subunit ribosomal RNA
Source: RNAcentral